This 371-nucleotide ribosomal RNA is filed under the name uncultured bacterium. RNAcentral describes it as "bacterial SSU rRNA". It matches the Rfam family "Bacterial small subunit ribosomal RNA", at positions 527 to 896 of the family's 1533-position model. The record is from RNAcentral.
GUAGGGUGCUAGCGUUGUUCGGACUCACUGGGCGUAAAGCGCGUGUAGGCGGCCCCUUAAGUCGGAUGUGAAACCCCGGGGCUCACCCCCUGAAGUGCAUUGGAAACUGGCGGACUAGAGUCCCGGAGAGGAGGGUGGAAUUCCUGGUGUAGCGGUGCAAUGCGUAGACAUCAGGAGGCACUCCCCUGGGGAAGUCGUCCCUAUGGACGGUCACUGCCGCUGAGCCGCGAAACUGUGGGGAGCAUACACGAUUAGAUACCCUGGCAGUCCACGCCGUAAACGAUGGGCUGUAGGUGUCGCGGGUAUUGCCCCCUGCCGUGCCCACGCUCACGCCCUAAGCGCUCCGCGAGGGGAGUACGCCCUCAAGGCUU